Molecule: ribosomal RNA, 371 nt
Filed under: uncultured bacterium
Lineage: Bacteria
Description: bacterial SSU rRNA
Rfam family: Bacterial small subunit ribosomal RNA
Source: RNAcentral
AGAGGUCCCAAGCGUUGUUCGGAUUCACUGGGCGUAAAGGGUGCGUAGGUGGCCAGGUAUGUUCGGUGUGAAAGCUCGGAGCUUAACUCCGAAAUGGCAUUGAAUACUAUCUGGCUAGAGGGUCGGAGGGGAGACUGGAAUUCUCGGUGUAGCAGUGAAAUGCGUAGAUAUCGAGAGGAACACCAGUGGCGAAGGCGAGUCUCUGGACGACUCCUGACACUGAGGCACGAAAGCCAGGGGAGCAAACAGGAUUAGAUACCCUGGUAGUCCUGGCUGUAAACGGUGCACGUUUGCUGUAAAAGGAAUCGACCCCUUUUGUGGCGAAGCUAACGCGAUAAACGUGCCGCCUGGGGAGUACGGUCGCAWGRWWA